RNAcentral lists this transfer RNA (88 nucleotides) under Duganella violaceipulchra. Its description in RNAcentral is "tRNA-Ser". It matches the Rfam family "tRNA". Rfam says of the family: Transfer RNA (tRNA) molecules are approximately 80 nucleotides in length. Lineage: Bacteria; Pseudomonadati; Pseudomonadota; Betaproteobacteria; Burkholderiales; Oxalobacteraceae. The record is from RNAcentral.
GGAAGCAUGGCUGAGAGGCCGAAAGCAACGGCUUGCUAAGCCGCACGCUCGCAAGGGCGCCCAGGUUCGAAUCCUGGUGCUUCCGCCA